RNAcentral lists this ribosomal RNA (1556 nucleotides) under Escherichia coli. RNAcentral describes it as "bacterial SSU rRNA". It matches the Rfam family "Bacterial small subunit ribosomal RNA". The record is from RNAcentral. Lineage: Bacteria; Pseudomonadati; Pseudomonadota; Gammaproteobacteria; Enterobacterales; Enterobacteriaceae.
UUAAAUUGAAGAGUUUGAUCAUGGCUCAGAUUGAACGCUGGCGGCAGGCCUAACACAUGCAAGUCGAACGGUAACAGGAAGCAGCUUGCUGUUUUGCUGACGAGUGGCGGACGGGUGAGUAAUGUCUGGGAAACUGCCUGAUGGAGGGGGAUAACUACUGGAAACGGUAGCUAAUACCGCAUAACGUCGCAAGACCAAAGAGGGGGACCUUCGGGCCUCUUGCCAUCGGAUGUGCCCAGAUGGGAUUAGCUAGUAGGUGGGGUAACGGCUCACCUAGGCGACGAUCCCUAGCUGGUCUGAGAGGAUGACCAGCCACACUGGAACUGAGACACGGUCCAGACUCCUACGGGAGGCAGCAGUGGGGAAUAUUGCACAAUGGGCGCAAGCCUGAUGCAGCCAUGCCGCGUGUAUGAAGAAGGCCUUCGGGUUGUAAAGUACUUUCAGCGGGGAGGAAGGGAGUAAAGUUAAUACCUUUGCUCAUUGACGUUACCCGCAGAAGAAGCACCGGCUAACUCCGUGCCAGCAGCCGCGGUAAUACGGAGGGUGCAAGCGUUAAUCGGAAUUACUGGGCGUAAAGCGCACGCAGGCGGUUUGUUAAGUCAGAUGUGAAAUCCCCGGGCUCAACCUGGGAACUGCAUCUGAUACUGGCAAGCUUGAGUCUCGUAGAGGGGGGUAGAAUUCCAGGUGUAGCGGUGAAAUGCGUAGAGAUCUGGAGGAAUACCGGUGGCGAAGGCGGCCCCCUGGACGAAGACUGACGCUCAGGUGCGAAAGCGUGGGGAGCAAACAGGAUUAGAUACCCUGGUAGUCCACGCCGUAAACGAUGUCGACUUGGAGGUUGUGCCCUUGAGGCGUGGCUUCCGGAGCUAACGCGUUAAGUCGACCGCCUGGGGAGUACGGCCGCAAGGUUAAAACUCAAAUGAAUUGACGGGGGCCCGCACAAGCGGUGGAGCAUGUGGUUUAAUUCGAUGCAACGCGAAGAACCUUACCUGGUCUUGACAUCCACAGAACUUUCCAGAGAUGGAUUGGUGCCUUCGGGAACUGUGAGACAGGUGCUGCAUGGCUGUCGUCAGCUCGUGUUGUGAAAUGUUGGGUUAAGUCCCGCAACGAGCGCAACCCUUAUCCUUUGUUGCCAGCGGUCCGGCCGGGAACUCAAAGGAGACUGCCAGUGAUAAACUGGAGGAAGGUGGGGAUGACGUCAAGUCAUCAUGGCCCUUACGACCAGGGCUACACACGUGCUACAAUGGCGCAUACAAAGAGAAGCGACCUCGCGAGAGCAAGCGGACCUCAUAAAGUGCGUCGUAGUCCGGAUUGGAGUCUGCAACUCGACUCCAUGAAGUCGGAAUCGCUAGUAAUCGUGGAUCAGAAUGCCACGGUGAAUACGUUCCCGGGCCUUGUACACACCGCCCGUCACACCAUGGGAGUGGGUUGCAAAAGAAGUAGGUAGCUUAACCUUCGGGAGGGCGCUUACCACUUUGUGAUUCAUGACUGGGGUGAAGUCGUAACAAGGUAACCGUAGGGGAACCUGCGGUUGGAUCACCUCCUUACCUUAAAGAAGC